AAACAUGGCACUUAUUAGGAAAAAUACGGAUUAACAACCAAUAUUUUAUUUAAAGAAAUGAGAUAAUGGGUAAGAGUAGAAACAAAACAAUUUUGUCUCUGUGUUGGUUUAGUUUGGUUUUAUAUUCAAAAGAAUUGGUUUGGUUUGAAAUUAACUGAUUGCAAUUUGCCAUCUGAUUCUAAACCUUGAACCAAUCAAACCAGAACAUGCAUACUGUUAAACAGUAGACAUGGUGCACAACUCUUGUCUGAAUUGUAUACACAGUAAACAAUCAAAUGUCAGAGAUUGUAUAUGCAGUAAACAAUAAAAUGCUUUUAUAUAAUUUGUUCCAUUUGUUAUACAUUCUGCAACUGCUAUUUUAACACUUUUAUAACACCUUUGUUUUUAUUGGUCUCUGUUCUAGUCUUCCUUAUGCUUGAAAAAAGUAUUCUCUUAUGUCUUCCCACACAGCCCUCAUGUUCCUUCCUUUACCUUCUCAUUCACUUCACAAACAUUUGCUUUAAACAAUGGUAAUGGCUAGGAAAAUAAGAAUAGAAGCUGCACAUGCAACUCCAUACAUUAGAUGAGAAAACGAAAAUAAAGACUGAUAAACAUUGCAGUUAUUGGGCAAAAUAUAAGAUUCAGAUGAAAAUAAAUAUACUAUGCAGUAAGGAGAGCUUCAACUGCAAGCAAAGAGGAACAAAUCAUUCUAGAAUGGAUGAUCAGUGUGGCUACAUUUUAUGAAGGGAAAGAUUAAUAUUCAACUGAUGUAAAUUGAGUUUGAAUUUGUCUAAUGAACUCAAAUUUCCAUCAAAAAAUAAGUAGGAAUUUUGAAACAAAUUUUCAUAUUAUCAAAGCGUUUGACAAAAAAAUUUCUCACAUUUUUUCAAAGCUUUGAGGAAGUUGUAAAUUACUUGGGGCUUUAAAAGACACCCUUUUCCCGGAAGCUGAAGAACGGACCAAGUAUUUUGCUUCUUCUAUGGGAGUGGGCCAAUACUCCAUACCCCUGCGAUUUGUUAUCCAUAAACAAGCGCCAGCUUUGCUCUCAUCCGUAAUGAGCUCAAAAGCACCUUUUGAAAGUAGUAGUUGUGGAGAAUAGAAAUAUUUAUGAUGAUCUUAGCUUUAAAAAGAAUAAGGGAGAGAUUUGUAGAAAGGAGGAGAAGUAUGAGUGAAAUUUUGAGAGAAAAUGCAUAGAAACAGUAACUUGUGAUAGGGAUGUGCUGUAGAACCAAGAGAAAAACUAGAAGAAUGGAAGAGGCCAAAGGUUUUGAAAUUGUUGAGAGGUUUCUAGAAGGCCAGCUGUGCUCCAGUCAAUUAGAGGAAAUUUCGGGGGCCAUGUGACAGUAGUUGUAUAAAAGAAUAUGAAGGAAGAGGGUAAGAAGCUUGUGAGAAAGUUAUUGUAAAUUCCAGCUAGAAUACUAGCUUGGGGGCAGAAAUAUGAGGGAAGAGGGUAAGGAGCAUGUGAGGAAGUUGUUGUAAUUUCCAGCAACCUAAGAAGUCUGCCACCAAGCUAGUA
This 1495-nucleotide unclassified non-coding RNA is filed under the name Hevea brasiliensis (rubber tree). The record is from RNAcentral. Lineage: Eukaryota; Viridiplantae; Streptophyta; Magnoliopsida; Malpighiales; Euphorbiaceae.